UACAGAGGUCUCAAGCGUUGUUCGGAUUCAUUGGGCGUAAAGGGUGCGUAGGUGGCGGGGUAAGUCUGGUGUGAAAUCCUGGGGCUCAACCCUGGAACUGCAUUGGAUACUUCCUUGCUAGAGUACUGGAGAGGAAACUGGAAUUUACGGUGUAGCAGUGAAAUGCGUAGAGAUCGUAAGGAAGACCAGUGGCGAAGGCGAGUUUCUGGACAGUUACUGACGCUGAGGCACGAAGGCCAGGGGAGCAAACGGG
Molecule: ribosomal RNA, 253 nt
Filed under: uncultured bacterium
Lineage: Bacteria
Description: partial 16S ribosomal RNA
Rfam family: Bacterial small subunit ribosomal RNA
Source: RNAcentral